CCCAACGCUUUUUUCCUCUUGAGCAAAAACAUCCCGCCUAACCAAAUUACCUUUCCCUCUCCCACUGCGCACAAGCCCUAUCAUAGAGCCUUUCUGUUUUUCAAGGCUUACGGACCAAGAAGCCUUGCUACCUGCUUCCGUGAAGACCGUGAAAACAAGAAGCCCUAAAUUCCUGAAGUCGUACUGCACGAGAAGCCUUGCGACAUUGCUGCUGUAAAGCUGCUGUCGUGAAUUUGCCGCCGUGAAGCCCUUUCAGUAGUGAAACACUCUUAGCUGUUAAGCUCUCUCAUCUGUGAAGGUCGCGAAAACCUCUCGUUCUUGAAGACUGCCAUUUGACGAAUUGUUUAACAUCAGCAGAAUGGCUGGCUAAUGCGGCAGCUUCAGGUAUAAAAACAGAGGUGGAAAUGCCUCGUUGAUGCUCAGGAUUGUUGCCGUGAUGCAAGAAGUAAGGAUUGGUAGGAUCCCCAGGGGUGUUGAACAGAGAAGACGAUGAAAAAGACUCCAUUGAUGAGAAGCACAACAGCAGAAAAAGAGAAUCGCCUUCGAGAAAAUCAGAGUUCUCAACUUCGAUGAUCAAAUCAAAACUGUGCUAGCGAAGAAGAAAAUUGCUGCGAAGUGAAGACAAAAACUAUGGCCAAGCCGAAUCCAUAGAAAUCAAAUUAAGAGUCACGUAGCAGAAUCUAAGCAUCAACUUCGAUAAAAUUUCUUUCACCUACCUGCGUAACUGAAGAUCGCAACUGGUGAUACACGUGGGAGGCCUCAACGUCAAUGCUGAGCUCUAGAUCCAGGAACGUGAGAAACCCAAUCUUCACGAAAUUGACACAACAGAGAACUUGUAAAAGCAUAAUUACACAGUGAGAAUCACGCGAAGGCUAGGGUUUCAUGCUGAGAAGAAAUGGCGGAAAUUUAGAGAAGCUCACGAGUGACGAGACACGACAUAGACGGAGUGAGGGAAUGGCGGGAGCUGGUGGGAGAGCACUCUGAUACCAUGUAAAGAAACAAAGAAAUUGUAUAUUCCAGAAUGAUCUGUGAAUGUACUGUACAACAGUAUUUGUACUUAUACAUUUAAUGAACAAAAUACAUUCCAAUUA
Long non-coding RNA from Malania oleifera, 1091 nucleotides. RefSeq lists it as uncharacterized. The transcript is spliced from 2 exons. Lineage: Eukaryota; Viridiplantae; Streptophyta; Magnoliopsida; Santalales; Ximeniaceae. The record is from RefSeq and is a predicted model, not a curated record.